GGUUAAGUGACUAAGCGUACACGGUGGAUGCCUUGGCAGUCAGAGGCGAUGAAGGACGUAUUAACUUGCGAUAAGCCCAGAUUAGGUAGUAAAAACCAUUUGAGUCUGGGAUUUCCGAAUGGGGAAACCCAAUACCAUAAGGUAUUACUGUUGAGUGAAUACAUAGCUCAACAGGGCGAACCGGGGGAACUGAAACAUCUAAGUACCCCGAGGAAAAGAAAUCAACCGAGAUUCCGAAAGUAGCGGCGAGCGAAAUUGGACUAGCCCUUAAGCUUUACACGCGUUAGACGAACAGCCUGGAAAGGCCGACGAUACAGGGUGAUAGUCCCGUAGUUGACGACGUGUGUUCAGUGAAAUCGAGUAGGGCGGGACACGUGAUAUCCUGUCUGAAUAUGGGGGGACCAUCCUCCAAGGCUAAAUACUACUGACUGACCGAUAGUGAACCAGUACCGUGAGGGAAAGGCGAAAAGAACCCCUGUGAGGGGAGUGAAAUAGAACCUGAAACCGUGUACGUACAAGCAGUAGGAGCAGGCUUGUCCUGUGACUGCGUACCUUUUGUAUAAUGGGUCAGCGACUUAUAUUCAGUGGCAAGGUUAACCAUCUAGGGGAGCCGUAGGGAAACCGAGUCUUAACUGGGCGUUCAGUCUCUGGAUAUAGACCCGAAACCAGGUGAUCUAGCCAUGGGCAGGUUGAAGGUUGAGUAACAUCAACUGGAGGACCGAACCGACUAAUGUUGAAAAAUUAGCGGAUGACUUGUGGCUAGGGGUGAAAGGCCAAUCAAACCUGGAGAUAGCUGGUUCUCCCCGAAAGCUAUUUAGGUAGCGCCUCGGACGAAUACUACUGGGGGUAGAGCACUGUUAAGGCUAGGGGGUCAUCCCGACUUACCAACCCUUUGCAAACUCCGAAUACCAGUAAGUACUAUCCGGGAGACACACGGCGGGUGCUAACGUCCGUCGUGGAGAGGGAAACAACCCAGACCGCCAGCUAAGGUCCCAAAUUACUACUAAGUGGGAAACGAUGUGGGAAGGCUCAGACAGCCAGGAUGUUGGCUUAGAAGCAGCCAUCAUUUAAAGAAAGCGUAAUAGCUCACUGGUCGAGUCGGCCUGCGCGGAAGAUGUAACGGGGCUAAGUAGUAAACCGAAGCUGCGGCAAUG
This 1154-nucleotide ribosomal RNA is filed under the name Vibrio alginolyticus. RNAcentral describes it as "partial 23S ribosomal RNA". It matches the Rfam family "Bacterial large subunit ribosomal RNA", at positions 1 to 1210 of the family's 2925-position model. Lineage: Bacteria; Pseudomonadati; Pseudomonadota; Gammaproteobacteria; Vibrionales; Vibrionaceae. The record is from RNAcentral.